AGUGCGCCCUGGCACCAUCUUGCUUGCAUUCUGGGUAGAGUCAUGGGGUUUGGGGCGGUGUCCUCAGUGCGCAGAGCGGCUUAAAUCAGAGGCUGAGCCCGGCGCUUCCAUAUCACGCUGUACUCUAGCUAAGGACUGGGAAGCAAGUCUAUCCAAGGCUCCUUCAUGUAACCACGCGGCAGUUGGCAGGCACUAGUCCUAGACAACUGAGUUCUCCCUGAAGAAGAGUUAAAGCAAAAUAAAAACUCACAAAAAGGAAAACAACACGAAUAAAAAGAACUAGCAUGGGACCUAAAGGACGUUGCUGAACAAGGAAAAGAGCCCAUCAGAGAUCGAGAAUGCUUGUUAUUAGUAACUUAAA
Molecule: long non-coding RNA, 361 nt
Filed under: Homo sapiens (human)
Lineage: Eukaryota; Metazoa; Chordata; Mammalia; Primates; Hominidae
Description: non-protein coding lnc-MYT1L-1:5
Source: RNAcentral